RNAcentral lists this ribosomal RNA (495 nucleotides) under uncultured bacterium. Its description in RNAcentral is "partial 16S ribosomal RNA". It matches the Rfam family "Bacterial small subunit ribosomal RNA", at positions 28 to 523 of the family's 1533-position model. The record is from RNAcentral.
GACGAACGCUGGCGGCGUGCCUAACACAUGCAAGUCGAGCGGGGAAUAUUGAGUAGCUUGCUACUUGGUAUUUCUAGCGGCGGACGGGUGAGUAACGCGUGAGCAACCUGCCUUUAUCAGGGGGAUAACGCAUCGAAAGAUGUGCUAAUACCGCGUAAGACCACAGCUUCACAUGGAGCAGAGGUCAAAGGAGCAAUCCGGAUAAAGAUGGGCUCGCGUCCGAUUAGCUAGUUGGUGAGAUAACAGCCCACCAAGGCGAAGAUCGGUAGCCGACCUGAGAGGGGGGUCGGCAACAUUGGAACUGGGACACGGCCCAGACGCCUACGGGAGGCAGCAGUGGGGAAUCUUGCAAAAUGGGCGAAAGCCUGAUGCAGCGACGCCGCGUGCGGGAUGAAGGCCUUCGGGUUGUAAACCGCUUUCAGCAGGGACGAGGCCGCAAGGUGACGGUACCUGCAGAAGAAGCCCCGGCUAACUACGUGCCAGCAGCCGCCGUAA